This 164-nucleotide ribosomal RNA is filed under the name Agoseris retrorsa. RNAcentral's name for it is "5.8S ribosomal RNA". It matches the Rfam family "5.8S ribosomal RNA". Rfam says of the family: 5.8S ribosomal RNA (5.8S rRNA) is a component of the large subunit of the eukaryotic ribosome. The record is from RNAcentral. Lineage: Eukaryota; Viridiplantae; Streptophyta; Magnoliopsida; Asterales; Asteraceae.
CAAACGACUCUCGGCAACGGAUAUCUCGGCUCACGCAUCGAUGAAGAACGUAGCAAAAUGCGAUACUUGGUGUGAAUUGCAGAAUCCCGUGAACCAUCGAGUUUUUGAACGCAAGUUGCGCCCGAAGCCAUCCGGCCAAGGGCACGCCUGCCUGGGCGUCACGC